RNAcentral lists this ribosomal RNA (497 nucleotides) under uncultured bacterium. RNAcentral describes it as "partial 16S ribosomal RNA". It matches the Rfam family "Bacterial small subunit ribosomal RNA", at positions 28 to 507 of the family's 1533-position model. The record is from RNAcentral.
GAUGAACGCUGGCGGCGUGCCUAAUACAUGCAAGUCGAGCGAACGGACGAGAAGCUUGCUUCUCUGAUGUUAGCGGCGGACGGGUGAGUAACACGUGGAUAACCUACCUAUAAGACUGGGAUAACUUCGGGAAACCGGAGCUAAUACCGGAUAAUAUUUUGAACCGCAUGGUUCAAAAGUAAAAGACGGUCUUGCUGUCACUUAUAGAUGGAUCCGCGCUGCAUUAGCUAGUUGGUAAGGUAACGGCUUACCAAGGCAACGAUGCAUAGCCGACCUGAGAGGGUGAUAGGCCAAACUGGAACUGAGACACGGUCCAGACUCCUACGGGAGGCAGCAGUAGGGAAUCUUCAGCAAUGGGCGAAAGCCUGACGGAGCAACGCCGCGUGAGUGAUGAAGGUCUUCGGAUCGUAAAACUCUGUUAUUAGGGAAGAACAUAUGUGUAAGUAACUGUGCACAUCUUGACGGUACCUAAUCAGAAAGCCACGGCUAACUACGUG